RNAcentral lists this ribosomal RNA (440 nucleotides) under uncultured bacterium. Its description in RNAcentral is "bacterial SSU rRNA". It matches the Rfam family "Bacterial small subunit ribosomal RNA", at positions 338 to 773 of the family's 1533-position model. The record is from RNAcentral.
CCUACGGGUGGCUGCAGUCGAGAAUCUUCGGCAAUGGGCGCAAGCCUGACCGAGCGACGCCGCGUGUGGGACGAAGGUCUUCGGGUUGUAAACCACUGUCAGAGGCAAGGAAAUGUUAGGGGGUUCUCCCCCUAGCUUGACCGACCCUCAGAGGAAGCACAGGCUAAGUUCGUGCCAGCAGCCGCGGUAACACGAACUGUGCAAACGUUAUUCGGAAUCACUGGGCUUAAAGAGUGCGUAGGCGGUCUAGUAGGUGGGGUGUGAAAGCCCCCGGCUCAACCGGGGAAUUGCGCCCCAAACCACUAGACUUGAGGGAGAUAGAGGUGAGCGGAACUGAUGGUGGAGCGGUGAAAUGCAUUGAUAUCAUCAGGAACACCGGUGGCGAAGGCGGCUCACUGGAUCUCUUCUGACGCUGAGGCACGAAAGCUAGGGGAGCGAAC